Long non-coding RNA from Cyprinus carpio carpio, 1222 nucleotides. The record is from Ensembl. Lineage: Eukaryota; Metazoa; Chordata; Actinopteri; Cypriniformes; Cyprinidae.
GUUUACAUUGAGAAGAGUCCCUAUUGCUGGGUUGCCAGGCUCGAACAGAGGAAGGGUCACUGUUGGAGAACACUGGUCGGGCCUGUGAAAUCACUGUUAUUAAAUGAAAAACAUUACACAAAGAUUAGACUAGCAUGUCUUUGUCACUGGAAGCUGUCACAACACAGGCCGGAGACAAGGGGUAAGUGAACACAGGUAAUGUUUAUUGACAGAUAUGAUUGAUGGAUGAGUUGUGGCUGAGAACAGGUGAGCAGAAACGCUAUAGACAGUUCUUUGGUUCUUAGCUGAGAUCGUUGAUGCUGGGUCUUUUGCAGGUUUGACUGGUAAUGGCUGGAACAGAGAAGAACGGGAUCGAAGGAACGCUGUAGUAUCUGAAGGAAAGCACAUGCAGAAUUUCAGAAAUGUGUCCUUAAAAAGCUGGUGGAGAUCAUGCAGGAAGUCAAGAGAAUUGGAAGUGCAGAACCUAGUAAUUCAACAUACCACAUUAGACGAAUGGAGAGGAUAGAGGAGCUGAAUGCAUUGGAGGAGAAGCUUCAAAAUAAUGAAGAGAGACAUGUUCUGAUUACCCAGUUAAGUAAAGUAGGAGGCAAAAAUGUCAGAGACUGCUCAACAAAGAUUUUGGACAGACUGAUGACCAACAAUCUAAUGUCACAGCUUAACAUGAAGGGCCAUGGCUCAAAAAAAGCAUUUCAGUCAACAGCGCUGUACACCUCUGUGAUAGAUGCAGUCAAAAAGUGGGACAGCAAGGCCACCGAUCACGUCAUUUUACAGUGCCGUGGGAAACCACCUUAAACAUGCCCCUGGACGAUCUGGCGGUGGCGGACACACUGUGGCUGCAAACCAAUAACCACUUAAAUAGAUAUAUAUUUUUUUUGUUGUUGUUGUUAUGGCCUAUAUCUUACCUAUUAAUAAAUGUGUUUUGUUGUUACUUUUUUGUCAGUUGUCCUAUUUUGAGAGUAAUUAUUAAUAGGCUAAUAAUAGGCCUAUAAUGAUAUUUUUACAUAGCCUAAUAAUUAAUUUAUUCUUGAAAUUAGGUUAAAUGUAAGGCUUUAGAAUUAAAAUGGACAUUUUAACGACCUAAAAAAAGGACGUCUUUUCACCUUUCAACUAAAUUUAGACCUAAAACGGACGUCUUUUUAUAGACGUCUUUUCACCUUUCACUUUUCAACUAAAUUUUAACGUUGUUUAGACGUCUGCCAAUGACGUCUUUUCGACAAGUUUU